GGGUUGUGAGGUUAAGCGACUAAGCGUACACGGUGGAUGCCCUGGCAGUCAGAGGCGAUGAAGGACGUGCUAAUCUGCGAUAAGCGUCGGUAAGGUGAUAUGAACCGUUAUAACCGGCGAUUUCCGAAUGGGGAAACCCAGUGUGAUUCGUCACACUAUCAUUAACUGAAUCCAUAGGUUAAUGAGGCGAACCGGGGGAACUGAAACAUCUAAGUACCCCGAGGAAAAGAAAUCAACCGAGAUUCCCCCAGUAGCGGCGAGCGAACGGGGAGCAGCCCAGAGCCUGAAUCAGUGUGUGUGUUAGUGGAAGCGUCUGGAAAGGCGCGCGAUACAGGGUGACAGCCCCGUACACAAAAAUGCACAUACUGUGAGCUCGAUGAGUAGGGCGGGACACGUGGUAUCCUGUCUGAAUAUGGGGGGACCAUCCUCCAAGGCUAAAUACUCCUGACUGACCGAUAGUGAACCAGUACCGUGAGGGAAAGGCGAAAAGAACCCCGGCGAGGGGAGUGAAAAAGAACCUGAAACCGUGUACGUACAAGCAGUGGGAGCCUCUUUAUGGGGUGACUGCGUACCUUUUGUAUAAUGGGUCAGCGACUUAUAUUCUGUAGCAAGGUUAACCGAAUAGGGGAGCCGAAGGGAAACCGAGUCUUAACUGGGCGUUAAGUUGCAGGGUAUAGACCCGAAACCCGGUGAUCUAGCCAUGGGCAGGUUGAAGGUUGGGUAACACUAACUGGAGGACCGAACCGACUAAUGUUGAAAAAUUAGCGGAUGACUUGUGGCUGGGGGUGAAAGGCCAAUCAAACCGGGAGAUAGCUGGUUCUCCCCGAAAGCUAUUUAGGUAGCGCCUCGUGAAUUCAUCUCCGGGGGUAGAGCACUGUUUCGGCAAGGGGGUCAUCCCGACUUACCAACCCGAUGCAAACUGCGAAUACCGGAGAAUGUUAUCACGGGAGACACACGGCGGGUGCUAACGUCCGUCGUGAAGAGGGAAACAACCCAGACCGCCAGCUAAGGUCCCAAAGUCAUGGUUAAGUGGGAAACGAUGUGGGAAGGCCCAGACAGCCAGGAUGUUGGCUUAGAAGCAGCCAUCAUUUAAAGAAAGCGUAAUAGCUCACUGGUCGAGUCGGCCUGCGCGGAAGAUGUAACGGGGCUAAACCAUGCACCGAAGCUGCGGCAGCGACGCUUAUGCGUUGUUGGGUA
Molecule: ribosomal RNA, 1197 nt
Filed under: Escherichia coli
Lineage: Bacteria; Pseudomonadati; Pseudomonadota; Gammaproteobacteria; Enterobacterales; Enterobacteriaceae
Description: partial 23S ribosomal RNA
Rfam family: Bacterial large subunit ribosomal RNA
Source: RNAcentral